This is a non-coding RNA of Maylandia zebra (zebra mbuna), 306 nucleotides long. NCBI's taxonomy places the organism in Eukaryota, Metazoa, Chordata, Actinopteri, Cichliformes, Cichlidae. The record is from RefSeq and is a predicted model, not a curated record.
CAGCCUGCUGCUCCACGCCAGUCCGUAAUCGUCCUUCAGCGAUCACUGCUCGGCGUGUUUUGAGUCACCAGCCUGUCCACCUGCCUGUCCAGAAUUUGGAUCACGAUCAACCCCAGCCGCCUCGCCCUUUCUGGAGCUUCUCCCCACGGACCCUCACCCCUCCCUCCGGUUCCCUUGGCCCCGCUAUCAUCCCUCCCACGGUCCCGCUCUCGGCGUUUCCUGCGCGAUUCUUCUCCCGGUCCCUCGGUUUCUCUGGUUCCGUGCGUUUUCUCCCUUCUACUCUCCCGGGACACUCUCAGUUAUAAU